CCUACGGGAGGCAGCAGUGGGGAAUAUUGCUCAAUGGGGGAAACCCUGAAGCAGCAACGCCGCGUGGAGGAUGAAGGGUUUAGGAGUGUAAACCCCUUUUGGCAGGGAAGUAAAUGACGGUAUCUGACCAAUAAGCUCCGGCUAACUACGUUCCAGCAGCCGCGGUAAUACGUAGGGUGCAAGCGUUAUCCGGAUUGACUGGGCGUAAAGGGUGCGCAGACGGGCUUGGAAGUCAGAAGUGAAAGCCUGGAGCUUAACCCCAGAACUGCCUUUGAAACUGUGUGGCUGGAGUACAGGAGGGGUAGGUGGAAUUCUUGGUGUAGCGGUGAAAUGCGUAGAUAUUAAGAGGAAUACUGAUUGCGAAGGCGGCCUACUGGAAUAUUACUGACGUUGAUGCCCGAAAGCGUGGGGAGCAAACAGGAUUAGAUACCCUUGUAGUC
This 440-nucleotide ribosomal RNA is filed under the name uncultured bacterium. RNAcentral's name for it is "partial 16S ribosomal RNA". It matches the Rfam family "Bacterial small subunit ribosomal RNA", at positions 338 to 795 of the family's 1533-position model. The record is from RNAcentral.